RNAcentral lists this ribosomal RNA (484 nucleotides) under uncultured bacterium. RNAcentral's name for it is "partial 16S ribosomal RNA". It matches the Rfam family "Bacterial small subunit ribosomal RNA", at positions 30 to 507 of the family's 1533-position model. The record is from RNAcentral.
AUUGAACGCUGGCGGCAGGCCUAACACAUGCAAGUCGAGCGGAUGAAGGGAGCUUGCUCCUGGAUUCAGCGGCGGACGGGUGAGUAAUGCCUAGGAAUCUGCCUGGUAGUGGGGGAUAACGUCCGGAAACGGGCGCUAAUACCGCAUACGUCCUGAGGGAGAAAGUGGGGGAUCUUCGGACCUCACGCUAUCAGAUGAGCCUAGGUCGGAUUAGCUAGUUGGUGGGGUAAAGGCCUACCAAGGCGACGAUCCGUAACUGGUCUGAGAGGAUGAUCAGUCACACUGGAAGUGAGACACGGUCCAGACUCCUACGGGAGGCAGCAGUGGGGAAUAUUAGACAAUGGGCGAAAGCCUGAUCCAGCCAUGCCGCGUGUGUGAAGAAGGUCUUCGGAUUGUAAAGCACUUUAAGUUGGGAGGAAGGGCAGUAAGUUAAUACCUUGCUGUUUUGACGUUACCAACAGAAUAAGCACCGGCUAACUUCGUG